RNAcentral lists this unclassified non-coding RNA (609 nucleotides) under Zea mays. RNAcentral's name for it is "misc RNA Zm00001eb206690". The record is from RNAcentral. Lineage: Eukaryota; Viridiplantae; Streptophyta; Magnoliopsida; Poales; Poaceae.
GUUGCCGCAGAGGAGGAGCUGAUCGGCAGGGGGUAUUUCGCAGUGGAGCUGGAUGGAGUGCUGGAUGGCCUCGACGAGCGUGUCGCCGCCGCACUGGAACUCCAAGGUGUGGCCGUUCUCCGCCACGUGCACAAUCAGCUUCUGCCCCAGCGGCACCGCCGCCGCCUCCUCCGCACCACCGCCUGUCACCGCCGACCCGGAACUCAUCUUCCUUGCGAUUCCCGACUAGCCACAACUUCACUCCAAAACCGAAUCUUCUUUUUUUUUUUCCCUUCUUUUGCUUCACGCAGUCCAGAUCAAAAUCUACAGUUCUACCAUAUACCACCAAACGAAGCAACCACCGCACGCGCACAGUUCAACACGAAACACCAAACACUUUAACCUCUCCAGCACGACAGCCUCCGUCCGUCGAAGAAGAGCACGAGCCAACAACGUCUGCCGAGGCCUUCUCUCCCACGCCUCCGAUCAGACGCACCGAAUCCUUUUAUCUCCCCCAACAAGAACGGCCUGAAGGGGAGGGGGACUCCGUGGCCGGGACCGACGUCUCCUGGCCCAAUUUACCCUGCUUCACCAAGUCCGCACGGAUUUGGGCGAGAAGUUUGGAAUUUC